RNAcentral lists this ribosomal RNA (253 nucleotides) under uncultured bacterium. RNAcentral describes it as "partial 16S ribosomal RNA". It matches the Rfam family "Bacterial small subunit ribosomal RNA", at positions 524 to 776 of the family's 1533-position model. The record is from RNAcentral.
UACGUAGGUGGCGAGCGUUGUCCGGAUUUACUGGGCGUAAAGGGAGCGUAGGCGGACUUUUAAGUGAGAUGUGAAAUACUCGGGCUCAACUUGAGUGCUGCAUUUUAAACUGGAAGUCUAGAGUGCAGGAGAGGAGAAUGGAAUUCCUAGUGUAGCGGUGAAAUGCGUAGAGAUUAGGAAGAACACCAGUGGCGAAGGCGAUUCUCUGGACUGUAACUGACGCUGAGGCUCGAAAGCGUGGGGAGCAAACAGG